UACGUAGGGUGUAAGCGUUGUCCGGAAUUAUUGGGCGUAAAGAGCUCGUAGGCGGUCUGUCGCGUCGGCUGUGAAAACCCGGAGCUCAACUCCGGGCCUGCAGUCGAUACGGGCAGACUGGAGUUCGGCAGGGGAGACUGGAAUUCCUGGUGUAGCGGUGAAAUGCGCAGAUAUCAGGAGGAACACCGAUGGCGAAGGCAGGUCUCUGGGCAUUAACUGACGCUGAGGAGCGAAAGCAUGGGGAGCGAACAGG
RNAcentral lists this ribosomal RNA (253 nucleotides) under uncultured bacterium. RNAcentral's name for it is "partial 16S ribosomal RNA". It matches the Rfam family "Bacterial small subunit ribosomal RNA", at positions 524 to 776 of the family's 1533-position model. The record is from RNAcentral.